Molecule: ribosomal RNA, 253 nt
Filed under: uncultured bacterium
Lineage: Bacteria
Description: partial 16S ribosomal RNA
Rfam family: Bacterial small subunit ribosomal RNA
Source: RNAcentral
UACAGAGGGGGCAAGCGUUGUUCGGAAUUACUGGGCGUAAAGGGCGCGUAGGCGGCCUGUUAAGUCGAACGUGAAAUCCCUGGGCUCAACCCAGGAACUGCGUCCGAUACUGGCAGGCUUGAAUUCGGGAGAGGGAUGCGGAAUUCCAGGUGUAGCGGUGAAAUGCGUAGAUGUGCGGAGGAACACCGAUGGCGAAGGCAGCCCCCUGGGUCAAGAUUGACGCUCAUGCACGAAAGCGUGGGGAGCAAACAGG